UCUUUUUAAAUUUGGCAUUCAGAGAAAAACCAAGAAAGGUACCAUGUGAAUAAAAGGCCUUAAUUUACCUGUAAAACAAGUUUGAUUUUUCUCUCACACUGCUUUCCAGGCUUUGGGGAAACUUUGAGAGUUCAGGAGGUAUUCUCAUGGCUCCAAGUCUCUGCCACAUGACCAUGCCAUCUGUGGGGCCACUGGUUUACUAGAAAAAUCUAACUCAAGGUUGCAAGACAGCAAUGAGGGAGCCUGGAGGAAUGCUUUGCCUAAUAGGUCUAUGAGUGAACAUAUUGGACCAGUCAUAUUCUUCCCCUUGGAGAGUUUGAAGCAAAGGCACAAAGAAGAGGAUAUUAGUUGUGAGAAGAUGCAAAAGAAAGCAACAUGAAGAACCCACGAGACAGUGGGAAAUACAAACAUCUAGAAUUAUAAGCUACAAAGGCUUUAGGCCCUUAUCAGGCUACCCAGGGACUAUACCCAAAUUCUUCUCUUUGGGCUUCUCACCUGGACCAGUGUUAAGGAUGUUCAUGUCCUGGGCAUUAGGCUUUGCACCAUGAAAUAGAGAUGAGAAUUGGCCCAGCCCACAAAUAUCUUCUCCCUUUUCCCAGCUGGAGGACGUGCACAUUGUCUUAUAGAGGCUUUAUCAA
Molecule: long non-coding RNA, 638 nt
Organism: Canis lupus familiaris (dog)
Lineage: Eukaryota; Metazoa; Chordata; Mammalia; Carnivora; Canidae
Exons: 3
Source: RefSeq, a predicted model, not a curated record